UGGCUAGCCAAUUUGACUUCCCUG
RNAcentral lists this non-coding RNA (24 nucleotides) under Rattus norvegicus (Norway rat). Lineage: Eukaryota; Metazoa; Chordata; Mammalia; Rodentia; Muridae. The record is from RNAcentral.